Molecule: ribosomal RNA, 433 nt
Filed under: uncultured bacterium
Lineage: Bacteria
Description: partial 16S ribosomal RNA
Rfam family: Bacterial small subunit ribosomal RNA
Source: RNAcentral
AGCGAACGCUGGCGGCAGGCUUAACACAUGCAAGUCGAGCGGGCACUUCGGUGUCAGCGGCAGACGGGUGAGUAACACGUGGGAACGUACCCUUCGGUCCGGAAUAACGCUGGGAAACUAGCGCUAAUACCGGAUACGCCCUUUUGGGGAAAGGUUUACUGCCGAAGGAUCGGCCCGCGUCUGAUUAGCUAGUUGGUGGGGUAAUGGCCUACCAAGGCGACGAUCAGUAGCUGGUCUGAGAGGAUGAUCAGCCACACUGGGACUGAGACACGGCCCAGACUCCUACGGGAGGCAGCAGUGGGGAAUAUUGGACAAUGGGCGCAAGCCUGAUCCAGCCAUGCCGCGUGAGUGAUGAAGGCCUUAGGGUUGUAAAGCUCUUUUGUCCGGGACGAUAAUGACGGUACCGGAAGAAUAAGCCCCGGCUAACUUCGUG